AAGAUGGGCUGUGCCUGCAUCUGCACAGCACAGAGGCUGAUGAUAGCCUUGUAAUUGCAUCUGUGGUUUAAGUCUUGUAGACCUGUGGGUCUCAACCUUCGCCCUCCUGAUGUUUUGGACCAUCUCCUAAGAGCCUCAAGCAGUGUAGCCAAUUACCAGGGAUUCUGGGAGUUGGUUUCCAAAAAGUCCAUCUGCUAGAUCUAUGGUUAGGAACCACUGCUACAGACUUUGCUCUAUUUUUCUCCAGACAUAAUGUCUUCUGUUUUCUCUUGUCUUUCUUUCUAAUUAUCUUUUACCCCCUGCAGUUGAUUCCUGGACUUUGGUCUCCUGAGAAUAUGACAGAAGCACAGCUUCAAGGGAAAGGUCAUUAGAAGAGGUGUUAGCGUGACAUACCUGUCUACCUGCUUGCCUGCCUGCCUGCCUGCCUGCCGAAGACCAGAAACAGCUUUUUUGAAAAAGUGUGCUUCAAACAAAAGUGUACCUAAACAAAGUUUCAAUAUAAAAUUUAAGCUUUAAUCUACAGCCUAGAAGAAAUCUCCAUGGAUGUUUUUUAAAAAAGCAACUGACACUACAAUAAACCUGUUAAAAAUGUCUCA
This 596-nucleotide long non-coding RNA is filed under the name Pogona vitticeps (central bearded dragon). Its description in RNAcentral is "lncRNA (ENSPVIG00000019089.1)". Lineage: Eukaryota; Metazoa; Chordata; Lepidosauria; Squamata; Agamidae. The record is from RNAcentral.